Molecule: ribosomal RNA, 467 nt
Filed under: uncultured bacterium
Lineage: Bacteria
Description: partial 16S ribosomal RNA
Rfam family: Bacterial small subunit ribosomal RNA
Source: RNAcentral
GACGAACGCUGGCGGCGUGCUUAACACAUGCAAGUCGAACGGAAAGGCCCUGCUUUUGUGGGGUGCUCGAGUGGCGAACGGGUGAGUAACACGUGAGUAACCUGCCCUUGACUUUGGGAUAACUUCAGGAAACUGGGGCUAAUACCGGAUAGGAGCUCCUGCUGCAUGGUGGGGGUUGGAAAGUUUCGGCGGUUGGGGAUGGACUCGCGGCUUAUCAGCUUGUUGGUGGGGUAGUGGCUUACCAAGGCUUUGACGGGUAGCCGGCCUGAGAGGGUGACCGGCCACAUUGGGACUGAGAUACGGCCCAGACUCCUACGGGAGGCAGCAGUGGGGAAUAUUGCACAAUGGGCGGAAGCCUGAUGCAGCAACGCCGCGUGCGGGAUGACGGCCUUCGGGUUGUAAACCGCUUUCGCCUGUGACGAAGCGUGAGUGACGGUAAUGGGGAAAGAAGCACCGGCUAACUAUGU